This 25-nucleotide small RNA is filed under the name Bombyx mori (domestic silkworm). RNAcentral describes it as "ovarian small RNA-22048". The record is from RNAcentral. Lineage: Eukaryota; Metazoa; Arthropoda; Insecta; Lepidoptera; Bombycidae.
UAGAGUUGGUGACAAUGUUAAUGUA